AGUGAACGCUGGCGGUAGGCCUAACACAUGCAAGUCGAACGGCAGCACAGUAAGAGCUUGCUCUUACGGGUGGCGAGUGGCGGACGAGUGAGGAAUACAUCGGAAUCUACUUUUUCGUGGGGGAUAACGUAGGGAAACUUACGCUAAUACCGCAUACGACCUACGGGUGAAAGCAGGGGAUCUUCGGACCUUGCGCGAUUGAAUGAGCCGAUGUCGGAUUAGCUAGUUGGCGGGGUAAAGGCCCACCAAGGCGACGAUCCGUAGCUGGUCUGAGAGGAUGAUCAGCCACACUGGAACUGAGACACGGUCCAGACUCCUACGGGAGGCAGCAGUGGGGAAUAUUGGACAAUGGGCGCAAGCCUGAUCCAGCCAUACCGCGUGGGUGAAGAAGGCCUUCGGGUUGUAAAGCCCUUUUGUUGGGAAAGAAAAGCAGCAGGUUAAUACCCCGCUGUUCUGACGGUGCCCAAAGAAUAAGCACCGGCUAACUUCGUG
RNAcentral lists this ribosomal RNA (492 nucleotides) under uncultured bacterium. RNAcentral describes it as "partial 16S ribosomal RNA". It matches the Rfam family "Bacterial small subunit ribosomal RNA", at positions 29 to 507 of the family's 1533-position model. The record is from RNAcentral.